Molecule: long non-coding RNA, 963 nt
Organism: Apis mellifera (honey bee)
Lineage: Eukaryota; Metazoa; Arthropoda; Insecta; Hymenoptera; Apidae
Exons: 3
Source: RefSeq, a predicted model, not a curated record
UAUUAGAAAAUAGAAUAUAAAAAUAAUAUAUUGAUUUGUAACUUCCGUUUUAUUAAAUUUUUAUUUAUCUUAUUUCGUUUUUAUAUUAGCAUGUAUCACAAUAAGCAUUCUCGUCGAACAUUGAGAUACUAAAGAUACUAAAUCCGAACACUCGGACAGAGAAGAUAUAAUCCAUCUUAGAGGAGAACAGUAUUGUUUACGUAUAACGCAUACUAGUUUCGAAGAGUAAACAAUUCGAAACAAGAUUUGUAGUUGUGAGCAUUCGUACCUCAUUUCCUUCUCCUUUACGAUAUCUCAAUACUCAAUGUCUCUUUGAUAAAUUCCAAAAUACCUAAUAAAUUUAUUAACAUCUCAAAUUCCGAUUCCAUUUUCAAUCAUUUUUUAUUUCGUUGAUAUCGAAGUUAUAAUAGAUAUAUAUUUCAGAAUGAAACAUAACCUCCAAAAAUUCGAACUUACUUUAAUUCUAUUAUUCGAGAUAUAAAUAAAAAAAAAGAUAUUAUUUGGAGAAAAAUUAAUUCAUUGAUCAUUCUCAUAUAUAUAUAUAUCAUGUUUCUGAACUUUGCUCUCAUUUUCUUAUUUGAUAAUAAAGAAGAGUAUCGCUCGACAGAAGCAAUUAGAUGGAGAGAGUUGUGCGACACAUGCUAAGGACAAUUUUUCACAAGCAACUGGUACAGCAAGAUCUUCAUGGUAACGUUUUGACAAGAAAGCAACGAUCUCUUUACCGCUACCGAGAAUAACCGAGUUCCUUAGGUACAUACUGCGAAGUGUUUAUAUCGUCGAUUCGAACUGCGGAGGUGUUCUGUACUUCGUCAACCGAAGAGUUUACAAAGCGGCGAUUCCUGCUUCAAUUCGAGGGCCCACAUAUGUUGCGGCCAACCAGUUCGUCCUUUGCUUUUCGAUGAUUCCUCGGUUCCUACACCUGUCUGGUGUAAAUACGAUUCAUUCUGCAACGAAAAAUUUCGA